This is a long non-coding RNA of Ictalurus punctatus (channel catfish), 658 nucleotides long. Lineage: Eukaryota; Metazoa; Chordata; Actinopteri; Siluriformes; Ictaluridae. The record is from Ensembl.
GUGAAUAGAAAGUCUUAAGUAGUGAGUGUAUAUAGUGAAUAGAAAGUCUUAAGUAGUGAGUGUAUAUAGUGAAUAGAAAGCCUUAAGUAGUGAGUGUAUAUAGUGAAUAGAAAGUCUUAAGUAGUGAGUGUAUAUAGUGAAUAGAAAGUCUUAAGUAGUGAGUGUAUAUAGUGAAUAGAAAGUCUUAAGUAGUGAGUGUAUAUAGUGAAUAGAAAGUCUUAAGUAGUGAGUGUAUAUAGUGAAUAGAAAGUCUUAUGUAGUGAGUGUAUAUAGUGAAUAGAAAGUCUUAAGUAGUGAGUGUAUAUAGUCAAAGGGAAGCCUUAAGUAGUGAGUGUAUAUAGUGAAUAGAAAGUCUUAAGUAGUGAGUGUAUAUAGUGAAUAGAAAGUCUUAAGUAGUGAGUGUAUAUAGUCAAAAGGAAGCCUUAAGUAGUGAGUGUAUAUCGUCAAUAGAAAGUCUUAAUGAGUGUAUUUAUAUAUCGAAUAGAAAGUCUUAAGUAGUGAGUGUAUAUAGUGAAUAGAAAGUCUUAAGUAGUGAGUGUAUAUAGUCAAUAGAAAACCUUAAGUAGUGAGUGUAUAUAGUCAAUAGAAAGUCUUAAGUAGUGAGUGUAUAUAGUCAAUAAAAAGUCUUAAGUAGUGAGUGUAUAUAGUGAAUAGAAAG